RNAcentral lists this long non-coding RNA (29755 nucleotides) under Marmota monax (woodchuck). The stretch from base 864 to 932 matches the Rfam family "tRNA". The record is from RNAcentral. Lineage: Eukaryota; Metazoa; Chordata; Mammalia; Rodentia; Sciuridae.
GCCCUAUCAAACUGUGUUUAUCUUGUAAUCCACAGACAAGAAGAAGGGAGGCAGAUUCCAGCCUUUUAAGAAGUUGUUUGGCAAAAGGAAAAAGAAAGACACUUCAUUGUCCCGGGAGGAGUCGGUGGGGAAGAAGAGUUCCUCUUCCCAGAGUGUUAGCAAUGAGACCUUCUCUUCAGAUGAGGAGACCCUGGAGGACAAUCUAAGGUAAUAACUUGCACUUUCUUUUUCAUUUCUCUGGUGUACUCCUAGGUUGGGGAAUGGGAUCCCUAAGGAGGCAGGUGCCAUUUGGGGAUUCACCAGGCAGGAACAGCCUCACAAGUGUGUCCCACCUGGGGCAUGCUGGCAGCACUUGUGCGUUCUGUGUGGAGAAGUCACCUUGGAGACUUAGCAGACGAGUCUGGCCUCACUUUCCUGGAGUGCACAGGGACCGGGCGUUGGUGUCUGCCUGCCCUGUUGGUAGAUGGCAGUACACGGCCCCGCCCAGCAAGGUCCUCAGGAUCGAAGACCAGGUUCCCACGUCCCAUUACUUGCCAAAGAGAAAAUGACCACAGACUAGACCUCACAUUUGAGUUGAGGCCACAGAUUGCUCAGGCACAGGGCGAGCACCCUUUGCACCCCUGGCCAUCUCUAGCAGCUUCUGGGAUGUGUUUUGGUGAAGCUUGUAACUUCUUUUUGUCUUCCUCCUUCUUUCCCUCCCUCCUGCCUUCCUCCCUCUUAGAACACAGGCACCAAAUCUCACGAUGUCUGUGUCAAAAAUUCAGAAAAGCAGGGUCAGGGGGAACUUAUCACCUGAGUGCUGGGCACUGAAGUCAGAGUCAGCUGGCUGCACUGACAGUUUAGAAAUGGGCUCCUUGAGGGUUGGGGUCAUAGCUCAUUGGUAGAGCACUUGCCUCACAUGCAUGAGGCACUGGGUUCGAACCUCAGCACCACAUAAAAUAACUGAAUAAAAUAAAGAGAUUUGUCCAUCUACACUUAAAAAAAAAAUUUAAAAAGAAACAAAAGUUCACUUUGAGUUUUAAAAAGAAAGAAAUAGGCUCCUUGAAGAAGCCUUUGCAAGUACCUAGUCUGACUGAUUUGCCCUCACCCAUGCUCUCCAAUGUCAUGAGCCUGGCUCCAGCAAAGAACUUCCUAUGGAAAUGACUGAUUUGCUUGUCUGUCUCUCGUUUGACUGUUAUUCUUAUGAAGUCAGGGACCGGGUUUAACUCGGUGUCCUAUAAAUUUUUUUUUUUAAAGUUCCUAUGAAUGUCUCGCCCUGGUACCUAAUGCAGGCUGAAGGAAGGGAUGUAGGAAAUGUGAUAUUCUUACUGUGUUGCAAGGAGAAAGACAACUUCUCUUUCAGUGGUGUGUGUCAGUAAAUUCUAAUGGACACUACUUACUGUUGUGCGCAAAUUACAAAACCCUCAGGCAGGCAGUGUGCCUUAAGCCCUAUGGUGUUCCCAGCAGCAUCCGUUAGUUCAACCACCACUGACUGUCGACAGGCCUGUGUUUGUUUUUCAUUGCCUUCACCCUUCAGGAAGGAGAGGACUUAACUGAAAGGAACACUCAGCCAGCCCUGAGGGACCCCACUGUUGGAAUGCCCGUGAAUAUCGCCCAGUACGAAUCCAUUUUGAUUUUACUUCAGUUUCUUCAGUUGUAAAACAGGAACGUGAAUCUUUGCCUCUGUGUCAGAAUGAGAUACAGGUACUACUAAAGCAUGCUCAAGAAGUCAUUUUAUGCAAAAAUGAGGUCGUGUGGAAAGUUCGCCUUUGGAAAAAUGAUCCUAUAAAACCAACUUGUCUUUUUUAUAGUAGGUAAUGGUUCUGCCAUGUCCCUGAAGUCGUCUUGAAUUGUUUUGGACUCAGAGGAGAUGGAGAGCUCAGAAGUUCUCUUCUCACUUAAGUCUACAUUCUAUUUCCCUCUUGAGGUUUCCUUAAGUUUUUAAGGUUUUCAAAAGCUUGCAAAAGCUCAUAUUAGAUCAAGCAGCUACAUUUCUAUAAAAUAUGGAUAAUUUCACCCAUUCCCAUUAUUGACUCUUGUUUAUAAACUUCCACUUAUGAAACAUGUGCUAUAUUCCAAUUAAGUAUGUAUUUAUAUUAAAAGCUCAUUUAAUAAAUAAGGGAGCUAGCACUUUGGAGUAUACAUUUUUAAAAAUAUCUAAAUACUUUAAAAAUUAAAAUGGAAUUAUAAACAGUGGCUUGUGAGACUGAGACAGGAGGAUCAUGAGUUCAAAGUCAGCUUCAACCAAAGUGAGGUGCUAAGCAACUCAGUGAAACUGUGUCUCUAAAUAAAAUAUAAAAUAGGGCUGGAGAUGUGGCCCAUGAGAGUGAGAUUUCUUCACUGAGUCAGAAUUUAAAUUCACUGAGUCAGUGGUCCAAUACCCCUGGGGUCAAACCCCAGUACCCCCCCCCCCAAAAUUGAAAUAUAGAAAUAAUCUAAAAAUAUGUAUUUCCCCUUCUUCCAGGAAAUUGACAAUUACAAAACAAUCCUGUCCACAAAGUAAAAAUUGCAUGUAUUGCCUACAGCAUAACUGAACUUCUGUCUGCCCACCUUUUAGAUGGAGAAAAUGAAAAAUAUUGUUUCCAAUAAUUAUUAUUUUCAGUUCACUGCUCAAUUAUGUUGCAAUGAUUUUUAAACGUAACAUUUUACUUAGGGAAAACUCUCAUUGAAACUCAAAACUCAAAAUUCAUUCGAUGCAUUGUUUCAUGUCUAUAAUCUCAGUGACUCUGGGGCUGGAGGAUCACAAGUCCAAAGCCAGGCUCAGCAACUUAGCAAGACACUCUCUCAAAAUAAAAAAUGGCUGGGGAUGUGGCUCAGUGAUUAAGCACCCCUAGGUUCAAUCCCUGGUACAAACAACAGCAACAACAGAAAUUCUAUCAACAUGAUCUUGGGUAGAGGUUCAAGGAGGCAGAUUGCAGUGCAGUGUGAGGGAGAAUUUCAUAAUUAGUAAAGCCACCUAAAAAUAGGAAGUUUGUGAUAUGUCCACAGGGGAUGGGGUCCAUGAGAGUGAGAUUUCUUCACUGAGUCAGAAUUUAAAGUGGCUGAACUUCAACAUGUUAUUGAACUCUAAGAAUCUGUAAUUUCAGAAAUGUUUCUGUGACCAAGAAUAGCUCCUCAUUGAUCUGCUCCUUCUGCCUGAGGUUUUCCAUUUCCUUUGGGCUUUUAAAGCAUUCUGUUCUUCCUCUAGGUGAGAAGCCAUUGUGUCUCCUAGGCUGCUGCUUUUAAAUUAUACAUGCCUUGGGAAAAGCAAAGCAAUGAAACACCACCAGUUUUUAACAAUUUAAUGUGACUUUCUUUGUUAGUUAAAUACAAUUAAUACUAUGCUUCCAGAAGUAUGUGAAAUAGAUGUUAUAUGUAAAAGAGGGGAGAAAAGGAUCGUUUUGAUAAAUUGGUUUGGGUAAUGCUGGUAAUUCUUUACAUGGAACUUAUAGGGCUUCUGCUGUGUUCAUGUGCUCUGUGAAUCCUAAGACGAGGGAUGUGGUACAGAACAUUUCCAAGAGUCCUUUCUUUGACUCCAGAUCCUUUUUUUUUUUCAUAGAAAUAUCCAAUGGCAUGUAUUAAAUCUACCACUAAUUGAGCUUAAUGUGAUAUGUUUUGCAUAGGUGAACUCAUGGAAUAUUUACUAUCCUCUAAGAUUGACAUUAUUAUUCCCUGGAAUACUAAUGAGAAAAGUAAGGCUAGAGUGACUUGCCCAAGGUCAUACAGCCAGUAAGUCCCCAAACUAUUCAAACAUAAAGAGUGCAUUCUUAAGUGUUGGCUGCACCGCCUCUCAUGGAGGCUGCAACCUUACUAGGGAGCUAGUCACAUGGCCCUGAGUUGUCCUACCAGUCCUGGGUCACUAGACUUAGGUGUCCGACUGCCUCCUGCGCCUGACUGAGGUUCUGUUUACUAAGAGUCCACUUGUUCUGCUUCCAGUUUCUUCUGAACACCAAUUACCUAUUAUACAAUGCACAACUUCAGCGCUUUAUACUGAGUACCAACUGUAAGCACAGGGAGAAAUGAAGGUGCUCUAGAGUGGGUGAGCUCACUCUAGGACUGAAAGAGUCAGGACAGGUUCAGGAAUAAGGAGGUCAUGAGCUGGCUCCAGAUAAUGUGCAGGACUUGGAGGAGCUGAGAAGAGCAUGAACCUGCCAGAUAAUGACAUAAGCAGAAACUUUCAAGGACGAAUGAAUGUGGUAAAUAUAAUAAGAGGGGACCUUUCCAUGUUACUCUAAGACACUAUUGUUGCCCUCAUACCAAAACCAGGCAAAGACAUUGCAAAAAAAAAUUUUUUUAAUUAAAUUUUUUAAAAUCCCAUAGGCCAAUCUCCUUAUGGAUAUAGACACAGAGAUCUUCAACAAAAUACUAGCAAAUGGAAUUCAGAAACAUAUGAAAAGGAUUAUAUUUCAUGACCAAGUGGAAUUUGUCCCAGGAGUGCAAGGUUGGUUUAAUGUAGAAAAAAAUCAAUCAGUGUACUAUGUCAUAUUAAUAAAAAUAAAGGAAGAAAAAAUAAAACAAAGAACAAAAAAACACAACCAUCUCUAGAUGUACAGAAAAAACGUUUGACAAAAAUCCAAUGCUCUUUUAUAACUGAAAAACAGAAACUACACAAUAGGAAUAGGCAGGAAUAUUUUUGUCUUUGUAAAGGACACCUAUGAAAAAUCCACAGCUAAUAACAUAAUGGUGAAAGAAUGAAUGUGUUCUCUUAAAAUCAGAAAUGAGAAAAGGAUGUCUUUUCUGAUCCUUUCUAUUCAACACUGUACUGUGUAGUAUUGUACUAUAGUUUAUUACUGGGACAAUUAGAAAAGAAAAAUAAAUAAAAAGCAUCCAUCUUGGAAAAGAAGUAAAACUAUCUCUGUUUACUAAUGCCAUGAUUAUAUAUAGAAAGAUAUGAGAAAUCCACUCACAUAAAAAACUACUAAACUAAUAAACAAGGUUGAGCAAGGCUGCAGGAUGUGGGAUUGGAGUUUUUGUAUCUCAGUAGUAUUUUUGUAUGCUAUCAAUGAAUGAUCUGAAAAGGAACUUAGGAGAACAAUUUCAGUUGCAAUAACAUCAAAAAGAAUAAAAUACUUUAGAAUAAACUUAAUGAAACUAAUACAAGACGUAUACACUAAAAAUGACAAAUAUUAUUGACAAUGACAUGAAAGAUCUAAAUAAAUGGGAAGAUAUACUAUGUUCAUGGAAUAGAAAAUAUUACUAAGAUGGCUGUACUCCCAAAUUGAUCAGUAGAUUCUCUGCAGUCCCUAUCAAUCCCAGCUGUCUUUAUUUUACUCUAUAAAUGAGCAAGUGGAUCCUAAAAUUCUUAGGAAAAUGCAAGGAAUCCAGAAUAGCUAAAAAAAAUCCUUAAAUAGAAAAACAAAGUUGGAGGACUCACACUUCCCAAUAUUAAAACUUAUUAUAAAGCUAUAGUAAUCUGAACAGUGUGAUGUUGAUAUAAGUAUAUGUAUCUAUUGAUGGGUGUAUGUAAAAUUGGGUUUAUAAUAGAGUCCAGAUAUAAACCCUUACAGUUAUGAUCAACUGAUUUUCAACAAGUGUGCCAAGACAAUUCAAUGGGUAAAAAUAGUCUUCAACAAAUUAAGCUGAGACUAUUAGAUAGUUACAUGCAAAAGAAUGAAAUUGGACCCUUUUAUUAUACCAUGUCCAAAAAUUAAUUCAGAAUGGUAUAGACCUAUAAUUCCAGUGACUUGGGGAGGCUUAGGGGGGAGGAUUGUAAAUUCAAGGUCAGCCUUAGCAACUUAGUGAGACCCUCAGCAAUUGAGCAAAAACCUGCCACAAAAGAAUAAAACAAUAAAAAUUAAGGACUGGGAGUGUAGUUCAGUGAUAACAGUUCAGCUCCCUGGUCCAAUCCCAAGUACCAAACAAAACAAAAACCUCUUUAAAGAAAACAAAGAAAAGUAAGUCUCUUGAAUUAGGCAGUGGUUUCUUAAGUACCCAAAGCACUCAUAACAAAGGAAGAAAACAGAUAAGUUGGACUACAUCAAAUUUAAAUUUGUGCUACACAUGAUACCAUCAAAAAAGUGAAAAAAAAAAAAGCUGGGUACAGAGGCACAUGCCUGUAAUCCCAGUGUCUCAGGAGGCUAAGGCAGGAGGAUAAAAGUUCAAAGCCAGCCUCAGCAGAUUAGUGAAACCCUAAGCAAUUUGUCAAGACCCUGUCUGAAAAAUAAAAUAAAAAGGGCUGGGGAUGUGGCUUAGUGGCUAAGCACCUCUGGGUUCAGUGGAAGAAAGGGAAGGAAGGAGGGAUGAAGAGAGGGAGGGAGGAAGGAAGGAAGGAGAUCCAGAAUAAGAAAACAUUUGCAAGUAAUAUAUCUGAUAUCUUUAUAAUAGGUAAAGAACGCAUACAACUCAAUAAUAAAAAAGGCAAAAAGUUUCUUUAUUUUAAUGAGCAAAGGAUUUGGAUAGACAUUUAUUAGAAAACAAAAGGGUAUAAAAAUGUCCAUUAGCACGUAAACUGUACUUGCUGAACAUCACUAGCUAUAAGGGAAAUGCAAAGAGAUACCACUUUCCACUCCUUAGGAAGAUUACAACCCAAAAGACAGACAAAAACAAGUGCUGGCUGGGGUACAUAGAAAUUGGAACCCUUAUUCAUUCAUGGAGGUAAUGUAAAAUGUUAAAAGAUUUAGGUGGUGCACUCCCAUAAUCCCAGCUCCUCCACAGGCUGAGGCCGAAAGGAUCACAAAUUCCAGGCCAAUCUGUCUCAGAAAGGGGCUGGGUCUCAUACUAGAUAAAAGUGCCAAAAACGUAUGUUGGAGAAAAGAUAGCCUCUUCAACAAAUGGUGCUGAGAAAACUGGAAAUCCAUAUGCAGCAAAAUGAAAUUAAACCCCUAUCUCUCAUCAUGCACAGAACGCAACUCAAAGUGGAUCAAGGACCGAGGAAUUAGACCAGAGACCCUAUGCCUAAUAGAAGAAAAAGUAGGCCCCAGUCUCUAUCAUGUCAGAUUAGGCCUCAACUUCCUUAACAAGACUCCUAACAAGAAAUAAAAUCAAGAAUCAAUAAAUGGGAUGAAUUCAAACUAAAAAGCUUCUUCUCAGCAAAAGAAAUAAUCAAUGAGGUGAAGAGAGAGCCUACAGAAUGGGAGCAAAUUUUUGCCACACACACAUUAGAUAGAGCACUAGUCUCUAGGAUAUAUAAAGAACUCAAAAAAACAUAAUACCAAGAGAAACAAAUAACCCAAUCAAUAAAUGGGCUAAGUAACUGAACAGACACUUCUCAGAAGAAGAUAUACAAUCCAUCAACAAAUAUAUGAAAAAUGUUCAACAUCUGUAGCAAUUAGAGAAAUGCAAAUAAAAACUACCCUAAGAUUUCAUCUCGCUCCUGUCAGAAUGGCAGCUAUUAAGAAUACAAAUAACAAUAAGUGUUGGCGAGGAUGUGGGGAAAAGGUACACUCAUACACUGCUGGUGGGACUGCAAAUUGGUGCAGCCAAUAUGGAAAUCAGUAUGGACACGCCUUAGAAAACUUGGAACGAAACCACCAUUUGACCCAACUAUCCCACUCCUCGGUUUAUAUCCCAAAGACUUAAAAACAGCAUACUACAGGGACACAGCCACAUCAAUGAUUAUAGCAGCACUUCACAAUAGCUAAAUUGUGGAAGUAACCUAGAUGCCUUUCAAUAGAUGAAUGGAUAAAGAACUGUGGCAUAUACACUCAAUGGAAUAUUACCCAGCAUUAAAAGAGAAUAAAAUCAUGGCAUUCGCAGGUAAAUGGAUGGAGUUGGAGAAUAUCAUGCUAAGUGAAGUGAGCCAAUCCCCAAAAACAAACACUGAAUGUUUUCUCUGAUAAGUGGAUGCUGAUCCAUAAUGUUGGGAAGGGAGCACAGGAGGAAUGGAGGAACUUUGGAUAGGCCAAAGGGGAGGGAGGGGAAGGAAGGGGCAUGGGGGUAGGAAACAUUGUGGAACGAGAUGGACAUCAUUAUCCUAAGUACAUGUAUGAAGACACAAACAGUGUGACUCUACUUUGUGUACAACCAGAGAAAUGAAAAUUUAAGCUCUACAAAUCAAAAUGCAUUCUGCUGUCAUGUUUAACUAAUUAGAACAAAUAAAUACAUAAAUUUAAAAAGAAGAGGCUGGGGAUGUAGCUGGUGCAAUCUUCAGGACUGCCAAAAAUAAACAAAUGAAGAUUUAGGAUAAUUUUAAGUCUUCAUUCAGUACCUUCAAUUUAUAAGUGGGAAAAUGGGCUCAAAGAGAUCCAUCCCUGUGCUCUUAGUAUCAGAGAUAUGACUAGAACCUCAGCCUGCUGAUUUCAUUCGUGGCGAUCCAUUUACCAGGAGCAGCCCCAUGUCCCACCUCUUCCUCUUCACCUAAUCCCCCUACAUUCUUCAAUUUUCUGCCCAAAUGUGGCUUCCCCAGGGGAGCAAGCUUUCUCCAGUUCCCUCGACCUAGAUCAAGUCCCUCCCUUGAUAUUAUUCUUACAACUUCUACUUUUUUUUUUUAAAGAGAGAGAGAGAGAGAGAGAGAGAGAGAGAGAAUUUUUUAAUAUUUAUUUUUUAGUAUUUGGCCUACACAACAUCUUUGUUUGUAUGUGGUGCUGAGGAUCGAACCCGGGCCGCACGCAUGCCAGGCGAGCGCGCCACCGCUUGAGCCACAUCUCCAGCCCACAACUUCUACUUUUACUUGUGGCCUGAGGUCCCUAACCCUGGCACUCUGCCCAGCACAUAGUGGGCAUUCUGUCAAUACUCACUGAAUGGAUGGGUGCCUGAAUAUUACCCUCUACUAAGUAGGAGAAGUAAAAGAAUUAGGGUGAAUAAGUCUAGUGGGGGAAAGCUUGAUGAAUCAGUAAUAGCAGUUUUUAGAGGUACAAGAGGUAGGAAGUGCAUCUGACCCCAAGCCAAGGUCCUCUUGUGAAUGCAGAUGCUGUCACUAAUAAGCUGGGUGACCUUAACCAAGUCAGCCACUUCAUCUGUUAAAUGGACAUGCUAUCUUCCAGGGUUAUCAUAGGACAAAAAAAAAAAAAGAUCCAUGCAAUUUUACACUACCUGCUAUAAAGUAGUUUACAAACACGAGAUGAUGUUAUGAGAUAAAGAUGUUGAUGACUAGUGUUCUAUUUCCAGAGCAUAAACUAAGAGGAUUGAUUCAAAUGAUAGCUAGAAAAGAUCUUUCUCCACAUGGGGCAGCCAAGGAGUGGACUGAGGAGUCUGGAAGCCUGCGGAGUCCCUGCAGAGUUUGAGAGGCAGCUCAGAUGACUGCUGUCCUUAGGGAUUGGGGUAGAUGACCCCUUUGAUUUCCAACUCCAAGACUGAGUAUUUUAAGAUUCCAAACUCUCCUCCUCUUCCUUGAGUCUGUAUGGCAUGCCCUGUUUCUGUUGUGGAAGGUAAUGUGGAACUCUGUAGCCUAUUGGGUGUCACAUUUUUUCAUAGAAUAUAUAGAAUCCAGGAUGAGCCUCCAGGAUGCCACAUAAUGUAUCCUCUGGUCCCUGUCUCUUCCAGCAACUCCAGUUUGUUUGAUGAGGAUAACUAAUUGCUCUUUAUUUUUCUUUUUCCAUACUGGAUACUUUAUUCCUUUGGUAGUUUCCUUCAUAGUGGAUUUCUAUGAAGGAAUAUAGGUUUACAUUUGUACUACAACUGUAUUUAAGAGCAUCGCUAUAAAGAUGUUUUCUCAACUUUUUUUGUUUAUUAGUUCUAAUCAGAUAUACAUGAUGGUAGAAAGCUCUUUGAUCCAUUGCACACAAAUGGAGCAGAAUUUUUCACUUCUCUGGUUGUGCAUAAAGUAGAGUCACACCAUUCAUGCAAUCAUACAUGUACUUAGGGUAGUGAAGUCCAUCUCCUUCCACUGUCUUUCCUAUCCCUUUGCCCCCUCCCAACCUCCCCUUGGCCCCAUUCAAAGUUCCUCCACUCAUCCCAUGCUAAUCCAUAUGGGCGGGGGCAUGGGAUGAGUGGAGAAACUAAUUGCUCUUUAGCAUUUCAUUUGAAUGAGACUCACGGAUCUGUUUAGAAAGAAAACUGCUGAUCAAUUGCAAUUGCCCCUGUUGUCAUGGAAACAGGCUGAAAUGAGACUGUAAUUAUAUUUCCUUAUUCCUGAAGUGAAUCCCUAAUCAUGCCAUAGUAAUUACCCAAUAUCUAUGUUCCCAAAUUACAUGAUGCUUGUCCAAAAAAGACAAAGGCUGAGGAGUUAGAGGACUGGCCUGAAGCACGUGUUCACGUGCAGCUGCUGAAAGUUUUCUCCUUUUUUGGAUAUAGAGAAUUUCCCUCUGUUGGCUCCAAUCCAAGGGUAGAUGACGUCAGUAGGUCUCAGAAUGUGCCCAGAACUUAUGGUAGUGUUAAGAAGGCUAUACCAGGUAGCACAAGUUCAGUUCUAACAGAAAACACAAGUGCUAGUGUCUUCAGCAAUAAUGACAUAUCAACCAAUGAUGGAAGGUGGAGAGCUUGAUGAGUCCAGCAACAUUAUCCAGAUCUGGUCAGAUUCCUUUGGGGAGUGGGCUUUUGUCUUCAUGUUUGUUUCCUCAUGGUCACAAGAUGACUGCCACAGUUCCAGGUGUCACACACAGACAACAAAGACCAGGAAUGGAAAGAGGACUGUCCCAGGUCUGGGGAUAUAGCUCAGUUGGUAGAGUGCUUGCCUCACAUGCACAAGGCCCUGGGUUCAAUCCCCAGCACCAAAAAAGAAAGAAAGAAAAAAAUAGGACUGUCCCUGUCUCAUGUAUUUUUUUUUUUGGUGGGGGGGGGGGAUUGAAUUCAGGGGCACUGAGCCACAUCCCUAGUCCUAUUUUGUAUUUUAUUUAGAAACAGGGUCUCACAGAGUUGCUUAGCGCCUCACUUUUGUUGAGGCUGGCUUUGAACUCAUGAUCCUCCUGCCUCAGCCUCCCAAGCUGCUAGGAUUACAGGCAUGCGCCACCACACCCAGCUUUGUGUCAUUUUUGUGAAUGAGAAUUUCCCAGGAAUGCCUCCUUCUAGCAAGAUUAUUUAUUUAUUUAUUUAUUUUUACAUGGUGCUGAGGAUCAAACCCAGGGCCUCACACCUGCAAGGCAAGUUCUCUACCACUGAGCUACAGCCCCAACCCCUGCCGCUUGCUUUUAAUGGUCCCUUUCACACCAGACCCUGCUGCAGACAGUAGGCCAAGACAAUGGAACUUAAAAUGGAGAGGAGCUCUUCUUGGCUCCUCCCCAUACUCAAAGUACAAAGUCCACAGUGGGUGGGUGAGGGAUGGAGUUGCAUGACUGUAGGUCUGGCUUUGAUUUGCUUUUCUUCUCAACUUGUCUCUCUACUCUGACCUUCCAGUGCCCUGAUCUCCAGGCCACAGGCCCAGCAGGUGCCCUCUGUCCCAUCUCCUCCACUUCUCCAGAUAAGCAUGGGCUUGGGUAUUCCCGUUGCUGAGGUGUGGCAUCCUUUGCUCUCAGCAGCACAUACCACCAAGAAAGAAAGCAGCCUCUAGGGGAGAAGUAGAAACAAAACACCAUACAGCUAUACAAAUGAGCUAUCCAUCGGGAGGGACUAGCCUAGAAAAUGGAACCAAGGUGCAGAUCCUAGCAUUCAGCCAUUAGCAUCCAAAUUUCCUUUCUGGGACUUGCCUUCGCCUUGACGUGUGUAGCUCCAAUAGGACAUAGUGUCUGCUUCCCGUGGCAGAAGCCAAAAGGCUGAGAUCCUCCACUUCCCCUCCCGCUACAGUCUGGCAUGAGCACAGACAGACUGUCUCUCCUAGGACCUGCCUGGACAGGUGUCUCAAGGAUGUAAGAGACACAACCUUAAGAGGAGUUGACAGCCGGGCUCUUCCUGCAGCUGACGAGGCCUAGAUGUCUCGUGCUCUCUCAGUUCCUGUGUUUUUCCAAGCCUGGGCUCUGCACCAUUUCUUUGGGUUGAGAGAGGUAAAGUCAGUUUCUAUUGCUUGCAGCUAGGAAAUGUAACGGACAUAGGUAGACACCAGGAGAACAAAGCGAGACAGAAGGUUUGAAAUAGAAGACAGAAAGCAAAACCCUGAGCCAUUCCCUGGUUUGAGUUGAAAAGAGAGCCUGGAAGAACUCUUUAAAGCUGCUGAAGAUCCUCCUGACUUGGCCACCAGGGGCUGCUCAGAGCUUUCCACAGUGGCCACCUGCACACCCCCCCCCCCCCCCCCCCCCCCCCCCCCCCGCACCCCCCCACCCCCAUCCCCGUGACCUGGAGUUCUCUCUCCUGCUUCAACUCGUGUGCAUCACGCCUCCCACUCCCUCAGCGACCUUUCCAGAAAAUCCAUCCGGUAAACCAGCUCACCCUACUGUACUAGUCACUGAUUGGCCCACUGAAAGAAUUUACUCACAGAUUUAAUCAUAGAAAGCAUGUGGGAGACACAAGGGCAGCAGAUGCGAUCCUGUCCUCAUGCAACUCAGUACCAUGUGGCCACAGAUGAUGCCAUUGUCAUCGUUGUUGUCAUGCCUGGGCUGCCCUGUACAACGUGCAAAGCACUUUUAUUUGCCUUCUCAUUUAAGGAUGAUCACAGUAGCCAUAACGUAAAGCAUCAAGACAUUCUGAACAGGGCUUUCAGAGGGAGAAAACACCCCUUUCUUCCAGGGAAGCAGGAAAGGCUGGGUGGAGUUGAUAAGAUAGGAUCUUGGACCUUGAAGGAUGAGUAGACUGAAUGGAGAGGGUGGUCUUGGGCAAUCCAGAGAGAGGCAGGACCUAAGUGGUGACAGAGCCCGAUGAGGCUGGAGGUAAAACCAGGGAUACAGUGACAGUCAGACAUGCUGACCUCCAGCUGCCCUCGGUGGUUCCUCCAUUUACUUCUGAACGUUCCCAUGCACAUUGUCCUAUGUGGUCAAGUGCAGGCGCCAUGGGCCCCCGCCACCUGCCCUGAUGGGGUGAUGGGGUGUCUUUCCAGCAGCUUCCUUUCAGAUGGUCCAGGGAAACAAAGUCUGAAGUGGCUUCAAAAUAAACAAUAAGGACAACAACAAUAAAAGUUUAAAAGUUUGAACUUUGUAUUGCUAUUGGCAUUGGCAUUGCUGUUGGUGGUUAUUUGAAUAAUGAUCCAAUCCGUGUAUUCCAACAAAGUAAGUAGGGUCACCCAGCCAGGCCUCCGCUGAGCAGCCUGAGAUCUUUCAGCACGGAGAUGGGCCCUUGAGAACAGCCCUGUAUUUUGUUCCACGUGCUGCCAGAGUGCACUGAGAGUGCUGUGCUAUUUGUUCUAAAAUAGCCUCUAGAGCCUGCGGGUAGACUCUUGAGAGCACAUCCAGCUCACUGAGCACAUGAAGGGGAAGAGAAGGAGAGUAAGAGCAGCAAGUCUUUCCUCUUGUCUUUCCAAAACCACCAAUGACUUAAGUCAAAGGACUCUGAUGUUCAAAUUGUUCUAAUAUAUAGGUAGGACAGACCCUCAAAGCCAUUCCAACACUGUUUUAGGGCUAAUAGCACACAUCCUUCCUCAGCAUCAGCAGCCUAUGUGAAGUCUCUGGUCUCCAGCCCAUAGAUUCUGGAAGGCAUUGGUGGUGUUUGACCCUCCUGCCUGGAGGGAGUGGGGUGGUGCUUCACUCCCCCUGGGGCUGCUGCUCCGGACACCACCAGGACCACCCUUUCCAGCUUUGCACCUCAAAACCCUCCACGACUCAGGCAAUGUCAAAAGGUUCUUCUUCUUUCUUUUCUUCCUCCCUCUUUUUCCAGUUUUUCUUAUCUUCUUCCCACCUUCCUUCUUCUCCUCCCUCUACUUCUUUUGCUCCAUAAAGUCUCUGCUAAUCUUUGCAGAUAGUAAAGACAGGACAAUUCUGUCGUGAAACAAGGACUGUGGUGCACCCAUUUACCUAAUUUUCGGCCACGUCUACACAGUUGAGUCAUAGUGAUCCAUUCCUACAUUUUUAAAGUUUUCGAUUAAUUCAUCCAUGUUCAUUGCAGCACCAUUCACAAUAGCCAAAGGUGGAAACAAGCCAGAUGUCCACUGAUGGGUGAAUGUUUAAAGGAGAUGUGGUGUGUAACAUAUGAAGAGAGAUUACCCCUUCUUUAAAAGGAAUGUAAGUCUGACAAGAUGCUACACCAUGAGUGAACCUUGGAGACACUGUACUGAGUGAAAAACUAGACACGAAAGGACAGAUGUUAUAUGAUUUCACCUACAGGAGACACCUGGAAGAGUCAAAAUGUAGAAAUAGAAAGUAGAAUCAAGGCUGCUAGAGCUGUGGGGAGAGAGGAAUUGUGAAGUUACUAUUGAAUGAACAUGGAAUUUCAGUUAGGGGUGAUGAGAACGUUCUAGAGAUGGAUAGUGGGGAUGGUUGUAUUAUAAUAAUAAUAAGAAUGGACUUAAUGUCAUUGAAUCAUAUGGUUAAAAUGAUAAAUUUUAUCUUACAUAUGUUUCUACCACAAUAAAAAAAGUCUCAAUCAAAAUUAUGGUAACAAAGAAAUCUGUGGAUGCUGACAUUAUUUUUGAUGUUGACAGAUUUGGUGUUGAAGAAGCAAAACUCAUUUCACCCUUUUUUUGCCAGGGGGAAUUGAACUCAGGGGCACUCGACCACUGAGCCACAUCCCCAGCCUUAUUUUGUAUUUUAUUUAGACACAGGGUCUCACUGAGUUGCUUAGUCCCUCGCUUUUGCUGAGGUUGGCUUUGAACUCGUGAUCCUCUGGCCUCAGUCUCCUAAGCUGUUGGGAUUAUAGGUGUGCACCUGGCUUUGUUUUACCCUCUCUCUUUUUUUUUUUCCAUUUUUCAUUUAUUUUAUUUUUGCUUCAGAAUUCUUUUUGAUUGGUUUAUUACAAUUAUACAUAGUAGUAGGAUUCAUUAUCCAUAUUUCUGCAUGCACAUAACAUAAUUGUUUAAUCUCAUUCCCCAGUACCUUCCCUUUCCUUCUCCCCUUCUUCCCCCAAUCCGCUUGCUCUACUCUACUAGUCUUCUUUCUAUUAUUAUUAUGAUUAUUUAAAUUACUGCAUUAUAAUUUCAUAUAGAAGUGGAAAUCACCCUCUUUGUAUAAGACUUAUAAUUGGGGGGGUCCAGGGACCUUAAUUAAGGCUCCUGCCUUAUGGUCCAGCAGCCACUGUUCAUAGUGUGUAUGUCCCCAAAGAAAUCCCAGUAUCUGCAAAUGUUAAAGUGGAAAGUUCUGUGAACCAAGCGUGGUGGCACAUGUCUGUAAUCCCAGUGGCUCUGGAGGCUGAGGCAGGAGAAUCUAGAGUUCAAAGCCAGCCUCAGCAAAAGCGAGGUGCUAAGCAACUCAAUGAGAUCCUGUGUCUAAAUAAAAUAGAAAAUAGAGCUGGGGAUGUGGCUUAGUGGGCAAGUGCCCCUGAGUUCAAUCCCUGGUGCCCCUCACCAAAAACAAACAAACAAAAAAACAGUUAAAUGGCUAUAUGACCAUCUGCAAUUAGAGGCUUAAAAUAUAGGAUUUUACAGGGCUUUACACAUGUCUUCUCAUGACCGACAAGCUGGGCCCUAUUUCUUACGCUUCAGCAGGGGGACUCUGAGGAUAGUUUUAGCAGUGAGGCUGGGAGACCUCUCAGCCCUUGGUUUACUCAUGACAAAGGGAGGUAGUGGAGAAGGGAGGGUGGCCUGCUUCACAAUCAGUUGUAAAAGACUUUAAAUGCCAAGAAUACAGAGGUCCAGGUGAACUCUGCUGAGGUGCAGUUUGUAAGAAAUUAUCCCUUCGCCUCCCAAUCAUGUAAUUUGUAGUUCUCAGCUGGUUUAGGACAAUGAUUCCCCCCCAGGCUCUUUGUUCAUUAGAACAUAGUUUUGAGCUUAGAUCUCCACACAUGGGCUUGGUUUCCAUUCCUACCCUGCCCUAGACCCUGGAACUUUGGGGAACAUUUUUACCUGCUCUGUCUCAGCUGCGUCUUCAGAGAAAAGGAAAUAAUAUACACCAUAGAGUAGAAAAAUCUACAUCAUGGGAGCCAGCAGCCAUGAUUUCUAAAGAUCUAAUAUAAAGUGGCAUUAUGUAAAUGAAAUUACUUACAAGAGCAUGUUCACUCAUGUAACUCAUAAUCCAGUUCCCAGUCUUGAUUUUUUUUUUUAGUUUUUAAUUUUUUAGUUGUAGAUGGACACAAUACCUUUAUUUUAUUUAUUUAUUUUUAUGCGAUUCUGAGGAUCAAAACCAGUGUCUCACACAUGCUAGGCAAGUGUUCUACAACCCCAGCACCCUUCACCACUAUUUUUCUAGUGCCUUAAAUUGAAACAAAAACCAAAUAUGAUAAGCUGGGCACACAGUGGCUAGGAGGCUAAGGCAGGAGGAUUACAAGGUCAAAGCCAGCCUCAGCAAUGGCAAGGUGCUAAGCAACUCAGUGAGACUGUCUCUAAAUGAAAAAAUACAAAAAGGGGCUUGGGAUGUGGCUCAGUGGUUGAGUUCCUCUGAGUUCAAUCCUUGGUACCACAACCCACCCCCCCAAAAAAAAAACAAAACUAAAUAUAACAAGAAAAAAGGUAUAAAGGUUUAUGAUCAUUUUGAAAAAACAUACCUCUUAAAAGCAAUGGUAACAUUAACAAAUAGGCUUUGAUAUGUAUAACGUGGUAAAAACUUAAUAAAUAUCAAAAAUUAUUUAAUUCUUCCAGUUAUGACUAGAAUGAAGUAGCUUUUGGGCAAAUCUGUACUGCCAUCAAGAACAGCUAGAAAUACAGAGCAUGUUAAGGACAUCCAUUUGAAGGCAUUACUUGGUGGCCAACUCACAGGACAGACCAGAGCAGUGAUAUCCAGGAGAGAAGGGAACCUUUGGUUGAGCACAGCCUUCCGUGUAUUGUUCCUCUCCUGUGGUCUUUAGUUGAUUUUUGGUGCAAGGCAAGAGGUCAGAAAGUCUGUGGGUAGUUGACAAUAGGAAGAGAAGACAGCAGAGCUAUAGGCAAUGUCAUGGGACCGGGAACUCAAAACUUGGAGUUUGAGGGUGCUAAGGUAGUCAGGGCUUAAGGGAUUAAGAUCCCCAGGAGAAGUCCAGAACAGUGAAGCCAGAUCUAGACAGAGUUUUCCUUUUGAGGCAUUUGCUAAUUUAUUAUAUUAUAUAAUAAAUAUUAUUAUAUUUAGUAAAUAAAUUUAUCAAAGUUGCUGGUUAUAAGAUUAGUAUUAGUAUUAGGCAAAGAGCUGACAGUUCAGAGUUUUUGGAAGCCUGUGGUACUGGAAAGAUAGAAAUUGGGUUUCCCAGCCUGCCAAGUAGGGGGAUCUUAGGAAAUAAACUAGGCUCUCUGUUAAGACUACAAGAGGACUUAGAAGUAGCAACAGAGGUAGUCUGAAUCCUACCAAGUUUGCUGGCCAGCCAUGAGUCAGCUGUUGGUGACUGGACGGAAGUGACUUGCUCUCUUGCCAUUUGCUGCCUACAAGAGAGUUGUGUGAAUCCUCUCUGGAAGGAGAGAACCUAACCUCCAAAAUUUUUCAUAUGUAUCGUUCAGUAAAAUAUUACCAAGCAUCUAAGAAACAAGAGUACAAGGAAAACAAGAUAAUAGACAUAGACCCAGAGGUGACUAAGAUACUGUAGUUUCAGAGACUUUUUAAGUAAUUUUGAUUAGGAUAGUCAAGAAAUUAGUUGAUGAGAUGGAGGAGUUUCACUGGAGAAUUGGAAUCUAUUAGAUAAGUAGAAAUUUGAGAUUUAAAAAAAGACUUCUGAAAUUCAGUGGGGGAUUUUAAUAGCAGAUUGAAAAAAACUGGAGAAUUUGCUAGUAGGCAGGUCCAUGGAAAGAUCUAGACAGAAUCGUUUUUUAGUAAGAAGAAUGAUAGAUACAGACAUGAGAAUAAAAGACAAAUGACUCAUUUUUGAAAGGGCCUAAUGUGGGGAUAUCAGAAAGGGAUUAAGAGGGAAAUGACCAGAAACAAUAUUAAAGAAAUAAAGGCUGGGCUGGGGUUGUGGCUCAGCGGUAUAGCGCUCGCUUAGCAUGUGCAAGGCCCUGGGUUCAGUCCUCAGCACCACAUAAAAAUAAAUAAAUAAAAUAAAGGUAUUGUGUCCAACUACAACUAAAAAUAAAUAUUUAAAAAAAAAUAAAUAAGGGCUAAGAAUUUUCCAAAACUAAUGAAAUACAUCAAGCCUCAGAUUUAAAAAGCACUAUGUGCCCCAGACUGGAUAAAUUAGAAGAUGUUCACAGCCAUGUCAGAGAAAAACUGCUGAAAACCAAAGUUAACGAGAUGAAUUUUUAACUUACACUAUAAAUAAAAGACAGAUUAUUUGCCUUUUCAAAGAAGCAGUGAUACAGUCAUAUCUAUAAAAAUUUUAUAGCUAACACUGUAGUUAGUGCUGAAAUAUUGUUUUCUCCCUAAGUUUGAGAACAUUACAAGGUCCACCACCACCACUGCUAUUCAAUUUUAUAUGAAGAUUCUAACUAAUUCAGUAUGGAAAGAAAAAAAGAAAAGAAUACAGAAUGUGAAAAGAAGAAAUAAAAUGGUCUUUUGUUGCAUACAACCUGAUGCAAUAUGUAGAAAAUCCAAAAGAAUCAAUAGUUAUAUUAUAUAUUUAGUAAAUAAACUUAUCAAAGUUGCUGGUUAUAAGAUUAGUAUAACAGGGCUGAGGUUGUGGCUCAGUGGUAGAGUGCUUACCUUGCAUGCACAAGGCCCUGGGUUUGAUCCCCAGCACCAAAAAAAAAAAAAAAAAAAAUCAAUAUAACAAAAAACAGUUGUAUAUUCCAUCAAUAAAACAUCAGAAAAUAAGAAUUUUAACCUAUAGCAUUUAUAAAAAUUUGAAACCACCAAAUAUGUAGGAGUAAAUCUAUCAGAAUAUGUAUAAGACCUCUAUACAGAAAACUAUCAAGACAGUCUUUAAAGAAAUUAAUGAUGCUCUAAGUACAAGAGGUAGCCGAGUGCAAUGGCACAUUCCUGUAAUCCCAGCAGCUCGGGAGGCUGAGACAGGAGGAUUUAGAGUUCAAAACCAGCCUCAGCAAUUUAGCAAGACCCUAAGCAAUUCAAAGAGACCCUAUCUCUAAAUAAAAUACAAAAUAGGGCUGGGGAUUUGGCUCAGUGGUCAAGUGCUCCUGAGUUCAAUCCUUGGUACCCCCUCCAAAAAUAAGAGGUAGCCCAUGUUCAUGGAUUAAAAGAUUUAAUAUUGUGAAGACAUUGGUUAACCCAAAAUUUAUCUAUGUAUCUAAUGCCAUCACAAAAUUCGUCUCAGGAGCAUAGGAAAGAGAGAGGAGAGAGAGAGAGAGAGGACUUAUAUAGUAAAGCAAAGGGACAAGAAUAGCCUUCUUGGGAUAAAAGACCCAAAUAUCAAAUUUGAAAAACUAAAGCUAUCAAGACUCAUUUGGAAGCUAAGUAUGGGGUUAUUGCUGUUAAAACAGACAAGCUGACUUAGGGUACAGAGGCCAGGGUCAGAUUCACAUAUGGACAGUCCCUUUAUUUAUGGCAAGUUACUGUCUUUAAGUAUUAAUUUCCCAUUUAUAAAAUAGACUUAAUUAUAGUAUAUACCACCCAAGAUUUAAAUUUUAUACAUUAAAGAUUUAGAUAUUACACUAAUAGGCUAACACAUUUAAGGGGUAUCUUAAGUGCCCAAUAAAAUUUAGCUAGAAUUAAUUCUUAACAUUGUAACUACCUCUAUUGUUAUAAUUAUUACAACCAAUAUUAUUAAUAUUUUUUUCUUGUUUUCAAUGUAAUCAUCUGUAACUGGGGGAUGGGCAAACAGUGAAUCCUGACUGGUAACAAAGAACAUUUGAGGGUCACACAGAAGAGCAGCAAAAAAUUCUUAGCCUACCUGGAAAAAAAUAAUAGAAGCAAGGGUGAUAAACUUCAUGACACAGUCACAAUUGAUUUAGAAGCUAGAGUGGAACUUAGCCUGGCAAUGGUAUAUACUGCACACACAACUGUAUGUUUCAUCUCUAACAAGAUUGUGGUGAUAAGGAAUUAAUGAGAUAAUGAAAUUAAACCUCAGUGCACAGAGUGAAAUCAAAUGCACAAAUGAAAUCAAACUGAAGGCUGAUUCAUUUGUUGUUUGUUUGUUUGGUUGGUUGGUUAGUUGCUUAGUUGGUGGUGUUAUUGCCUAAUGUCACACACCUCAAAUGCUCUUUGCCAUACUUCCCGUAAUUUGGUAAAUUAAAUGAUAUAAUUUUAUAACCAGUCUUCCCAGCUCAGUCUAGACUGUACAGCUGCCCAGGGAUCCUGCACACUGCACUUCGAAAUUAGCACGAGGGAUCUGCAGGAAGGCUGCAUUCUCAUGCACUCCUUCACUGAGAAAACCUCCAGUUGAGGUCCCUUUCUGGGGAUGGGGAGGGAGAAGUGAUGCUCUCACUGCCCUCUGCUGCUUCCCGAGUGCCACCAUGUUGCCUGGCAUUGGGAAAUGUGCUGUCUUGCCAAAGGGAGGGUGAAUCUCUCUCCCUGCCCUGAGGAACUGGGAGAGUUGGUAGGUGUUCUUUUUCAGAGACAAGUUAGUUUCUAAGAUCAAGUAAGGAGUUUGCUUCUGCAGCUUCCUCAUCCUGCAUUUCACACUGCUCAUACCUCAUGGCAGAUGGAAGUCUGGACUUCCUCAAAGUCCAACCUUUACACUAAAGAGCUGGAGUAUUAGUCCAUUUUCUUGUUCUUCUUUUUUCUUUUUUUCUUUCUUUCUUCCUUUCUUUUUGAAGGAGGGGUGUUGGAAAUUGAACCCAGGGCCUCAUGCAUGCUAAGCACACUAUCACUGAGCUACACCCCCAGCUCCAUUGCCCAUUACUAUAAUGAUAUACCUGAGGCUGAGUAACCUAUAAAAAAUAAGAUUUAUUGCUUAGCAUUAUAAAAAUAAAUUCUUAUAAAUAAGAACAAAAAAAAUAAUAAGAUUUAUUUAGCUCGUAGUUGUGGAGCCUGAAAGUCCAAACAGCAUGGUUCUGGCUCUGGCAAAGGCUCUCUGGAUAUAUCACAUCAUGGUGGACGGCAUCAUAGCAGGAUGUGUGCAAGAGGGAGAGUUCACAUGGUGAGGCAGGAAGCCUGAGAGCACAAGGAGGGGCUGGGCUUGCUCUUUGUAAAGUUCUAGUGAGAACUAACCAGGGUCCCACGAGAACACCCAUAUUUCCUUCCAAAGGUAGCGGCCUCAAUUACCUAGGCCCCCACCUCUUAAAGAUUUUACCGUCUUUUAACAUUGCCACACUGGGAACCAAGCUUCCAAUGCACAAACACUUGGGUUCACCCCAUGUACAAACCAUAGCAGCCAGGUGCUAACCACAUGUAAGGUGUUCAGUAUGUAUAAGGCCUGUCAUAAAAGCCCCAUCCAUAUUCCUCCUCUCUUCUCUGAAAUCCUCAAGCAUUGACUUUCCCUAUCAGGAACUCUGGUUCUAUUCCAAAGCCUUUGCUUUAGAUGUACAUAUCUUUAUUCCAACUUGAUUGUAAUAUGAAAGAAACUCUUGCCUCUCACUUCUAGAUCUGCAUGUUCUUAGUAAAUGCUGAUUGGCAAGAUUUCCUGGAACAAAACUGAUAUGACAGCCCAGCUGGGAAAGGCUCUUCCAUUUAAAAGUUCUGCAGUAAAUUCUACCCUGGAUCCUCCGCAAAUAACUAACAGUCUUUGAGUUCUCUCUGAAUGGCUCUGAACCAGGAUUGUGUAAGAGCCAUGUUCUCCCAUUCCUGGGGGACAUUUUCAUCUAUCUAGCCCCUUGGCUGACCGCCAACAGGAGGGGUCACAGUGCUGGAAGCGAUUUCUGAAUGAGACAGAGGACAUGGGUGGAGUCCCCUCAAGUCAGAACAGAAAACUGAAUUGCCAAAAGAAAUUUAUCAUCCUAAUAAAUGAAGCACAUGAUUUGCAUUCCAGGUCCUUCAACUAUUCUAUGGGAACCCGGGCGCUUUCCCAUGACAGUAUUUUUAUCCCUGAUGGGGGAGCAGAAAGUGAGCAGACAGUUCAAGCAAUGUCACAGGACAACAUCCUGGGCAAAGUCAAAACUCUUCAGGUAAGACAGCUUAAGACUGGAAGGUCAGAGCCAGAGGAGGGGUCCUGCUGUGGAGGGAAGUGGACAAGUCCCUAGUUCAUCCUUUAGUGAUGGAUUGGGAGGUUCAGGGUCGCUCCUGGUAAGAUUCCUUCCUGAACCUAACUCAGUUCUCUGGAAGUUUCCUGUGCCCCUAUGAGACAUCACCAUCAUACCCACCUGCACGACUUGCCCUCCCCUUUUCUCUCAAAUUGUUCCUUAAAAAAAAAAAUGGACAUGAGAAUAACAAGUACCCAAGAGAAUCUGCAGGGCUUGGAUGGGAAAAAAAUCUCCUGACCAAAUGAACCCAUAUUCCUGCCAAUGGAAUCUACAUAGCACAUGUUCACUGUCUGUCUCUAUUGGUGGAUAGUGAUUGAUGAGACUUUUUCUGCUGUGUUUGUAAAUCUGGCUCCCCAGCCACCUUUUCUUAGAGGAACACCACAGGCUCCCUCCUGUUCAUGCUGCAGGAUGGGGCAGUUUUCCUACGUAAAAAUUGACUCGGGGAGUGACUCCCUAGCAAUGAAAAGACAAUGAUCCUUUACCAAAUGCCAUCAAAAUAAUGAGAAUCCAGGGUAAGAAAGAAGACCAAAAACACUGAGGGUAUGGCGGUAGGUUUGCCCCAGUUCUUGAUAGAAUUCCCUUGCCCCCAAAUACCCAAGAGCAGUGCCAAAGCAAGCAUUCUCUGAGAUGGAAGCACUUAGAGGCUACCCAGAUUUUGAACAGAGGGCUCUGGAUUCUCAUCUGUCUGUAAGUCUACAACAAUGAGUGAAUGAAUAAGGGACAGGGGGAGGGAAAGAGGAAAAGCUGACCUGAGUGGCUACUGAUAUGAUGAAGCAUUGUACCCAAAAGGAGAUUUUGUUUUCUUGAGCUGCUCUUGUUCUCCUGAGCAUGAGCUUUGUAUUUUGUGACCUGUGUUUGGUCACAUAUUCCAUACACACUCAGCCAAAGGUGAAUGCGGAAUAGCCAACACCCUGUAACCACACCCAGGCAUGCCUAGAUCUUUAUGCCUGUGGCCACUGCUGCCCAGGGCCAGAGUCCUGCCCGCAGAGCCAGCCCAGGCCUGUCCCUCAUAUCCCAGCGUGCCCAACCAGCUCCCACUCCUGGUUCUAGCUGGCUGUGCUCUGAUGAGCCGAUUAGUAGACUGAUGGCAAAGCAGGCUGUCACUUCCCAUCGGUUGGAGAAGAAGAGAGAAUGGGCAUGGCCAGGGAAAACCUUGACCCUCCCCCUUCUAGUCUUUUGAUUUCUAGAAUAUUAUUUCGAAUAGGUUUUGAACUCCUGGCUCAUCAUAUUCCUUUUCUAAGACGAAUGACGUGCAGAAUUCAGGGUAUGAAAUAGCUAUAUUUGUAAAAUAUAAAAACUUUCUAGAAUUUCUUGAAAAAAGACAAUAGCCUGUUGUCUUCAAUGAUAGGUGCUCUGUAACAUACCACAUGCCACCACCACUCCAAAAACUGGUUGUGACAAUACUUAAGAUAUUUAGUAUAUCAUAAAGUUGCCAUUUACAUUCUUGAUAAAAGAGAUGGAAUAUGAAACCUGUGGUCACCUAUGUUAAUAUUGCUACUUUGGACAAUACUUGAGAUUCAUCAAUACAGUAUUUCUGGAGAAGCUACCAAAUGCCAGAGAUCAUGGUAGGCAUCUCCGCAGAUGUUGUCCAGUUUAAUGUUCACGACAAUCCAUGAGGCAAUUGUGUAGUAUUGAAAAUAUAGAAACCUAGUGAAAAAUAUGUGAGUGCUUAGGAUUUGUUACCAAUAAGCAUGAUUUUAAAUAAUCUGAUCUGUUUAAUCAAUAAAAUAUCGAAUAACUAACUUUCCUGAAGUGACCGUUCUUUUAACACAAGAAGAAAAAUGUGAAUAAAGCAAAAUAAUGAUUUGAGUGCUCUCAUUUUGAUAACAUCUCCUCAUACAAGGUCUGCCUAAUUUUGCUUCUGCUUGCAUGGAGUCACAAGCUUCCUUUCAGCUUGGUAGUGAGGUUUUUGAAAAUACAAAAGGCUUUUGCUCUUCAAGGAGGGAAAUGGGGACCGUGAUCAUAGCAAAUGUGAGUUUGGAGUAACCUAAGAUGUGACUGUAUCACCCCCAAAAGACUAUGCUUUAUUUUUCAGUCGACUAAGCAGUAUGUUCCUGGUAAGUCGUAGAAAUAGUAGUAACUUUAUUAACUUGCAUGAAUGCUUUGCAUUUUUCCAUGACAACAUUAUGCUGGUGUCAAUGCUUAGUAAGCAGCAUAAAAGAUCGCCCCCUCGUAAACUCCAGCAUGGAAUGAGAGAGUUCAGCGUGUCAGAGGCAUGUAUGUUUCAUGUCUGGAAUUGUCUUUGUGUAUAUGUGUAUGUUUAUUUUUAAAGAGAGGUAUGGGAUGGAUAACACAGUAAAUGUCCUGAUGAGCUGAUUAGCCACCAUAUUAAGACAUUCUUUUGAAAUGAGAUUUCUACUGGAAUGCCAUUUCAAAAAAAAAAAAUUUUUUUUUUUCUCCAUAGCUUAAAAAACUGCCCAGCCCUCAAACCCUUGGAAACUCCUAGAAGGGCAUCUGUCUUUCUGCAUUUGGCAAGGCUGCCCUCCAGUGUCCACAGCAGUCAUCUCACCUAGAGCUGUCAUGGUAGAUGGGCAGCUGUUAGCAUCUCAGUGCAGACUAACUGAAUAUAGCAUAAAUUAAUCUGUCCUUUCCUGAAUAAAGCCAGCCUAUCACCUGCUAAAAAAUUUGUGGCAAACUAUUGAACCUUUUAAAAGAAAAACUAAUUUUUUUUCUGAGUAUAAAAAUAAUACAGCUAGGCAUGGUGGUACAUGCCUGUAGUUCCAGCAAUUCAGGAGGCUGAGGCAGGAGGAUCACAAGUUCAAGGUCAACCACGGAGGGAUCUAGGUGAAAUAAAAAGUGUGUCAGGCCUCGGCUACCAUCUGGCUCUGUGGCCUUGUAAAGAAGCCAUUAAACUCUCUGAUGCUCACUUCACCCACCUUGAUAAGGGGGAAGCCUGUGAUGGACAAUGUGAAGGACCCUUCUGGUUCUUAAGAUCUGCCCCACCUUAGGAAGUCAUUGUUCACCUGCUGUUGUGCAAGGUGGCUAGAUACGUGUUAAACUUUGUGGCAUUUGGACUAAAUGACCUUGACACUACUUACAGUUUUCCAGCAGCAUGGAUUGGGAGAGUGCCUCCUUGAGAUCAGACCAGGCUAUGAGGUUAUGUCCCGGCCAAUGAGAAAAGUCAGGGGUAUCAUAUUUUAAGCCUGUGGGUGAUUUAUACAAUUAUACCAGAAUUUUGUCAAGGAAAUAUUGAAUCAUGGAUUGUUUGGCAUAGGAGGGAAACCUUCAUCCUCAGUAGCUAGUAUCUCCCACUGAGCUGGAUUUCACUUAAAAAUACCAAAAAUCAUACAUUUGAGCAUUUUGACAACUAAUGCAGCUAUCAAGGACACAAAGAAUAAACACGUGCACUUAGCCACUUCUAAAGUCACUUUUAAAGAGCAGUUGUUUUUAAAUUGUUAUGCUUUCUUUUUUAAAAAAAAUUCACAUUAACAAUGGAAGUAUCUGUAGUUUGCUCAAGAAGACAGGAACUUUAUUGUUCCUCUGCUUAACUCUUACAAUUAUGGUCUGAAGAGUGGCCAUGAAAAAUCUGGGGAAUUCUAGACACUGGCAACGAGAGAGCUACAGAAUAUGAUGUGCUUGGCAUUUCCUCACCAUAGGAACAAACCUCAUGAAUAUGGAUGUGCAUUCCUGUAGCGUCAUUCUCUGGCAUUCCAUAUUACAACAAAAUGGCCCAAUAUGAAUGAAUAAAAUAUGGCUCCUCUUAGCUCACAUUCUGGUCUCAACAGUAACUCCAUUCAUAGCCCCGCAAUAGACUCAAUAUAGACACAAGUAAUAACUGCAGUGUGUAUAAAGACAGUUCAUGGGUAUUAAAAAAAAAAAAGUGAGGAGAGCAGUAGUUUUGUCUCUGAACCUAAGACCACCUCAUCUUAUUGAGAUGACUGCUCACUGAUGUCAUAGUUCCUCUCGUGACAAUGAGUAGCACACAAAUUAGAGUAACAGAAAAGCCAUGUUUAUCCAAAUAUUCAAUUCAAGUGACACCUGAGAUUGCCCAAUAGGUUUUGGCAGUUACCUUUUAAUUGUCAGUACAUUUCACAAAAUGUCACAACUGCCCAGUCUCCUUUGAGGAGGCUGAAGGAGACCUUUGCAGGAGGAACUGCAGGGAGGACGUGUGGGUGGGAGCUCCUGGUCAUUGGGUGUGCGAGGAUCGAUGGCCAUAGCCCUGGACCCUAAGUCCUGCCCUGACCUCUAGUGCCUGACAGUUGCAGAACAUGUCUGUGAGGACAGUCCUUUGUCUGGACACAUAGACUAGCCCUACUCAGAUCCCUGCUACCAUUCCUCUCCUGCUUCUCAGCCCCACCCCAAGGUCCCAAACCACUUGCCUGAAUCUGUUUUCUCUGGGGGGAUUUCAAAUCUGUUCCUGUACCAAGAGGCACAUUUUCAUUUCCAAAGGCAACAGCAGUGUUUUUCUUUUGCCAGGAUGAACAUAUCUGUGAUAGAAAUCAACCUUUUGACACACACACACACACACACAGAGUCAUUCCCUCCUGUCCUCUUCCCCUUCCUCCUUUUCUCUCUCUGUCCCCCAGGUCCCCUAGCUAUUGGAACUGCCAGCAGUCCUUCAGCUCUCUCUGGGCCCUUCUCUCUCUUCUUCCCUAUGCAUUUCCUCUGUCCCCAGCACCUUUCCCUCAACCCACCUCUUGAAUUCUCUACCUCAUUUGUGAACAUGCCCCCGGUACUGUAUGGUCCCUGUUUUUUUUUUUUUUUAAGUUAUAGGUAGACACAAUAUCUUUAUUUUAUGUUUAUGUAGUGCUGAGGAUCGAACCCAGUACCUCACGCAUGCGCUCUACCUUUGAGCCACAACCCCAGCCCCUUGUCCCUAUUCUUAUUCAUUUAUUUGUUUCUUUCUGUUCUCUUUCCUGUUUCCUUUGUGGCCACAAUAGUCAUCCCAACUUUGCAGUUAUUUCAGUCUAGAAUGUGAUUACAUUUUGCCUCAUUUUUUUUUUGCCUCAUAAGCAUCUUAAUGAACCAACAUGAGUAUUCUAAAAAUUAAAAUAUCAGCAUAUUUAUUCACAAUUAAAUGGCAUCAGAGUAUUAGGCCAAGAAUUACAAUAAAGAAUUAUUCUUUCCAUUAUAAGUACAAGAAAUAACCUCACCUCAGUUGGUUUGUACAUUACUGUUAGGAGAAGAAAUGAAUUCUAGUGUUUUGUAGCACACUGUAGAGUAACUAGAAUUAACAAUCAUUUACUGUAUGUUUCAAAAUAGCUAGAAAAGGGAAUUUUGAAUAUUCCUAACAAAGAAAUGAUAAAUGUUUGAGAUGAUGCAUAUAUCAAUUAUCCUAAUUAUACAUUGUAUUCAUGUACUGAAAUAUUAGUUAACAAUUUAUUGUGUAUUUCAAAGUAGCUAGAAAACAGAACUUUGUUCUCAGCACAAAGAAAGUAUAAGUGUUUGAGGUCAUGGAUAUGCCAGUUACCCUGACCUAAUCAUCACACCCUGUAUACAUGUAUUAAAGUAUCACACUCCAUAAGAGCAUAUAAUUAGUAUAUGUCAAUUAAACAAAGAAACACAUGCAUCUCAGCAAUUGGGAGCAUUGGCAAUCAGCAGACCCUGCUCACAGGAGGUGUCCAGGGUCACAGGGUUUAGGACAGCCCCUAGCUCUUGGCCAACACUACUAGGAAGGCCAGCCUGGGAGGACACAGGAACCUGCCCCAGUCUUCUGCCCCUGGGCAGCAGAACCCAGCUGGCCGCUGGCUUUGCAACCCCCUGUCCUCUUGUCUGACUCCAUCGCUAUCCUCACGUGCCUGCUUACUGACCUGCUUAGGGUAGACACUAACUGCCCUUUCCUGCUAGGCUUGUUUUUGGAAAACACGUUUUUUUCAACCUUCUCCUCCCCGCAACCCCUUCAGGCUGCUCAAGCUGCCCGUCCCUGGCUGAACUCAAGGCUUUUGAUGUGUGCUCCUUCCCCUUGGAGCUGGGGAGCCCUGCUCAGGCUGAAACACCUGCGGGCCAGAUCCCCGCCCUUGCCUUGCCGCUCCUGCCUGGGCAUGCGGGGGUUCCUUGGGCGCGAGGGGAAGGGAGGCUGGGGCCCGUCUCUGUCUGUGUGUUCCUGCUCACUAGGCGAGGCUGGGGGUGGGGGAGCUGGGCGAACGUGGGUGGAUUUGGUACCAUUGAGUAAGGGAGAGAGGGCAAUUCCCUCAAGGGAACUUCAGACAAAUAUUUUAAAUGCUGCAUCAUCUCUUUAUAUAACUGCCCCUGCAAGCAGGAAGGACAUUGUCAAAUUUAUGAGGGCUGAUGAAGUGCAAUGAAAAUAACCUUAAUGUAAUUUAAGAAGACUCAGGUUCUGAUUCCUUUGGGGCUACUUAUUCUUCCCAUAAGCUUGGGCCAGUUGCCUCUCCCUGUGGGACAUCUGGCAUUUAUUUAUUUACUUACUUACUUACUUAUUUAUUUAUUAAUUAAGUAAAGAGUUUUGAAUAGGUGAUUGCUAAGGUUCUUUGCUGGUCUGUGAGAUUAAACAUUAGCCAGAUUAAAGAUAAAUAUCAGAGAAUUUUUUUUGAGGCAUAUAAGGAUUGUGAAACUCAAGAACCUACUAUCUAGAGCAGUGGUUCUCAGCUGGGGGCAAUUUUACCCCCAACCCCAGGGACACUGGGAAACAUCUAGAGACUUUUUUCUUUUCUUUUCUAAUCUGGCCCUUGUCUAAUUCCAAAUACAAUUUGUCUUCCCUUCUCCUUGUAAUUACCAUCUACUAGUGGUCCACCCCUCCUUGACCCUUUUCUCCUCCUGGUUCCUUCAGUCUUGGUCUCUCUCCUAUUUCGUGAUGUGUAAAUACUCCAAGGCAAAGAAGUCUGGACCGUUCCCAUCCCUUAUAUGCUCUCGACAUUGAUCAGGGAAAGACCUGCUGGCCCAGGGACCUUCUUCACCGUGGCUGUGACCCACCAUGACCUAAGCAUGAGGUCUGGCGUGGGGUUGCAAGCUGGGUGCCAGAGGUGAAGAUGGUAGAAGAAUAAUUUUCACAGGGAACGUGUCCAGAAGAGGCUGGAAAUUUCCCUUGUUGUACCUGCUUUAAGAGCUUUCAUUUCCCCCAGAGUUUCUACAUUUCAUGUAACUGUUUUCUGCAUAAUUUUUGUACUUUUAAAAAAGACUUUCUAGAUUUAUAGACAAGUCCAAAAUCAAAAACAUAUUUCAACGUUUGGUUCAGAAAUAUGGUGCCUGUACCCUAGAAAAAUGUUGGCAUUUCCAUGAAAGAGGUGGCUAGAUGAAAAAAGUCCCGGUUUGAAGAUGGGAGAGUCAAAGGGACUGGAAGACUCGCAUGUUCUCUAGGACUGCCUGUGGUUCCCUGGCAUGGCAGUGGGUCUAGGAAGCAGCUGGGCUCAGGCGUAUGCCUCAGCGCUUCCUAGAUAUGCUGGGGAACCUGGUUGUGGUUUUUGGGACUGCUUCACUGCUUCAGAAUGUCUUUCUUUUGUUCCUCUCCAGCGACAAUUGGGCAAGAAUAUCAAGUUUGGGCAGCGGCCACCCAAUGCCAUUCCCAUGAAGAAGGCAGGCAGUGGAGAGGCCAGCUCAGAAGAGGACCUGUUCCUGGCCAGUCCCAUGGAAAUUGUCACUCAGCAGGACAUCAUCCUCUCAGACGCUGAGAACAAAGUAAGUCUCUGCUGUGGAAGACUUGAUGGCUCCUAAGCCAUUCACAGGACUUUAGGCAGUGAACACAGGCUCCUCAUGACCCUGCAGUCUGCAGUGGGGAGAACAAGAUGGGAGAAGCUUCUCUGAUAAGUAGCCCAGGGGUGGAGGGUACUUCCUGGUGCCCGUGAGGUCUCUUUCUAGUGCCUUCCAAGUACCCUUCAAGGCUCAGGUUGUGCCCACCUCUUCUGGGAACACUCCCCUGGCCUCACUUCUGAGUGUAUUUUCUCUCUACGUGUGCUGUGCGUCUUCACCACUGUUUCCACACCCAUAUCUCCCAUCCAUGUCUGUCCAUGGAACUAUUCCUCUCUCCAUCUCAAAACACUGACUUUCUUGAGGAUAAAGUGGGUCUCACCCAUCUGGGUGUCCCCAAGAUCGUAGCUAGUGCCUGUUUAGGUGCACUGUAUAAUGACUUGUCAGGUUACGGUGAUUUAAAGGGAAAUGAAAAAAGAAAAC